Molecule: long non-coding RNA, 553 nt
Organism: Anguilla rostrata (American eel)
Lineage: Eukaryota; Metazoa; Chordata; Actinopteri; Anguilliformes; Anguillidae
Exons: 2
Source: RefSeq, a predicted model, not a curated record
AGCUUUAACACCCAACCAGGAACUCCUAACCGUGAUGUAGCCUUACGUCCCCGCUAGUUCUCAAGAACAUCAUUAAAGCGACAUCAUCAGCUGAAGAGUCGGCUUACUGCAGUCAAGAUUAACUCACUGGCUUCACAGUUCUGUAUAAGUGCUGUGCUGGGACCCUACUGAUAACUGACGGAUGGAUGGACACCUGGAAUCCUAGCAACAGGAUAAACCAAAUGCUGCCCUUGGGCGGGGCCUGUCCAAAGCCCACCCGCCCUUCCUGAGAUGGCCAAUCAGGAUCGGCACAGCUCUCAUUGAAUGCCACACACACAUGUACAUAUGUGCCCUACUGUUCUUUUCUGCUGCGGUCCUUGCGUUGUGCACAGUCAAAAGUGAACAGUCAUAUACAAUGAUCAGUUUUGCAGUGAUCUGUUAAUAUUACAAAAGAUGUGCACUAUGACAGACCUGUGUGGAAUAUAUUGAAAAGGAUAAUUAUACAGGUUGAAGUUGACAGCUUUAAAAAAAAAAUUAAAAAAAACCCUGUCCAUGCCGUCUCUUUGUGUUGUCC